RNAcentral lists this small RNA (132 nucleotides) under Klebsiella variicola. RNAcentral's name for it is "RtT sRNA". It matches the Rfam family "RtT RNA". From Rfam's summary of the family: This family represents a bacterial cis-regulatory element known as RtT RNA. The exact function of RtT is unknown although it is thought that it may be involved in changing the cellular response in relation to amino acid starvation. Lineage: Bacteria; Pseudomonadati; Pseudomonadota; Gammaproteobacteria; Enterobacterales; Enterobacteriaceae. The record is from RNAcentral.
UAUUCUGCCCUACGGGGAAGGAUGAGAAGCUUCGACUAAGGUUCGACUCGAGCGUAGCGAGAGAACGUUGCCGCAGGCAACGGCCCGAAGGGCGAGGAGCGAUAGCGACGAGUUAUCCUUCCCCCUCUAUUC